UACGGAAGGCAGCAGUGGGGAAUAUUGCACAAUGGGCGCAAGCCUGAUGCAGCCAUGCCGCGUGUAUGAAAAAGGCCUUCGGGUUGUAAAGUACUUUCAGUCGUGAGGAAGGUGUUAAGGUUAAUAACCUUAGCAAUUGACGUUAGCGACAGAAGAAGCACCGGCUAACUCCGUGCCAGCAGCCGCGGUAAUAUGGAGGGUGCGAGCGUUAAUCGGAAUUACUGGGCGUAAAGGGCACGCAGGCGGUUAAUUAAGUUGGAUGUGAAAUCCCCGGGCUUAACCUGGGAAUGGCAUUCAAGACUGGUUAGCUAGAGUCUUGUAGAGGGGGUAGAAUUCCAUGUGUAGCGGUGAAAUGCGUAGAGAUGUGGAGGAAUACCGGUGGCGAAGGCGGCCCCUGGGACAAAGACUGACGCUCAUGUGCGAAAGCGUGGGGAGCAAACAGGAUUAGAUACC
This 453-nucleotide ribosomal RNA is filed under the name uncultured bacterium. RNAcentral's name for it is "bacterial SSU rRNA". It matches the Rfam family "Bacterial small subunit ribosomal RNA", at positions 340 to 786 of the family's 1533-position model. The record is from RNAcentral.